AUCAACUAUUAUUUUCUUUUCUAAAAAAUGGACAAUUUAAUUAAAAUUUUCAAUAAUUAUUAUUAAACUGAAAAGGUUUUUUUAGUAAAUGAGAAAAAGAAGGUUGAACGUACCUUUAGCAUUAGGGGUUUUUAAAAAAAGAAAAAGAUUUUAUUUUCCCGAAAUAAUUUGAGCUAAAAUUGUAAAUUAAUUUAUAUUUCAAUACAAAUAAAAUUCAAUUUUAGAUGUGAAAUUCUUUUCAAAAAUUAUGAUACCUGGUUAAUAAUAAAAUUACUAUAAGUAUUUCUAUAAAUGUAAUUAAUAUAAAAAUUUAUAGAAAAUUAAUUUUGGGAUAAGCUAAAAUUAUAAAUUUAAAACUUAAAGGCAAUAAACAGAAAGAUUAAAAUUUUCUUUUUUAUUUUCAUAAAUACGUUUUAAUUAAGGUUUAAAAUAUUUUAAAUAUUUAAUAAAUUUAAUUUAAAAUUUAAAUAAAAAUGAAAAUAUUAGUAAAAGUUUAAUUAAACUAAUAAUUUAAAAUUAAAAUCUAUAAUAGAAAAAUAAUUUUUAAGAAUUCAGCAAAAAAUUUUUUUAACUGUUUAAUAAAAACAUUUCAUUUAGUAAAAUUUAUUAAAUGUAAUUUCUGCUCAAUGAAAAUUUUAAUUGCUGUAGUAUUUUGACUAUACAAAGGUAUUGUAAUAAGAUUUUAAUUGAAUGCUAAAAGAAUGGAAAUUUAAAAAAAAACUUUUUUAAAAAUAAAAAUUGAAUUUUUUUUAAUUUGUGCAAAAACAAUUAUUAUUAUUAAAGACAAGAAGACCCUAAGAAUUUAUGAUUUUGCAAUUAGAAUUUUUUUCCAAAAAAUCUUGAUUGGGGCGAUCAAAAAAUAUUAAUAACUUUUUAAAUUUAAAUUGAUCUAUUAUUAAUAAACUAAUGAAUUAAAUACUCUAGGGAUAACAGCGUAAUAAUUUUUGAUAGAUCUUAUUGACAAAAUAGUUUGCGACCUCGAUGUUGGAUUAGGAUCCUUUUUUAAUGAAGAAGUUAAAAAAAGAAGUUUGUUCAACUUUUAAAUUCCUACAUGAUCUGAGUUUAGACCGAUGAGAAUCAGGUUGGAUUCUAUCUUAAUAAAAAAAUUUUUUUAGUUAGUACGAAAGGAAUUCUAAAAUUUAAUUAUUAAGAUUAACAACUUUAUUUGCAUCAAUUUUUGUAAUUU
This 1186-nucleotide ribosomal RNA is filed under the name Hyalomma anatolicum. RNAcentral describes it as "16S ribosomal RNA". Lineage: Eukaryota; Metazoa; Arthropoda; Arachnida; Ixodida; Ixodidae. The record is from RNAcentral.